Erinaceus europaeus (western European hedgehog) is the source of this 1979-nucleotide long non-coding RNA. RefSeq lists it as uncharacterized. The transcript has 3 exons. Lineage: Eukaryota; Metazoa; Chordata; Mammalia; Eulipotyphla; Erinaceidae. The record is from RefSeq and is a predicted model, not a curated record.
GACGGGAGAGCUGGGUGUGCGGGGACUCUCUGUACUAUCUUUGCAGCUUGUCUGUGGAACUAAAAUCACAGCAAAGCAGAAAGUUUGACGCGGAACAAAAUCGAAGAGGAUUGAGGACUCUGAGGGGAGCCGUGCCCUGGACAGGAGAGGGGGUCUUCUGCUCUCAGCCCUUCCCGGCAAGGAGGGAGGCCAGGGAGAGUUGACACAGAGAAGGAAUGUGAAGAGAAAGAAUUGAAGUUGCUGCUGUCCUUGAAGACUGGACUGAAGAGGUCACAAACCAGGGGAAGCCAGCAGCCACCAAAAGCACAGGCCUGCCCUUGACUUGAUUUCGGACUCUUGGCCUUUAAAGAACCAGAGAAUUCAUUUCCCUUGGAGAAAUUGGGUUGAAGUAAGCAGAAGAAUUAGAAGAAGGAGAAGGAGAAGGAGGAAAAGCAGCAGAAGGAAGAGGAGGAGGAGAAGAAGGAGAAGGAAAAGAAGGAGGAGGUGGAGAAAAGAAGAAACAAGAGAAGGAGGGGAAGGACAAGGAGAAGAUGGAGAAGGAGAAAAAGAAGAAAAGAAAGGAAAAGACCUCUUCAGUCUUGGCACUCCCCACCCAAGGCUGCUUUGAGUCUUCAGGCCGUGGGCUUUAUAACUUGUUCUUCCAGGGAAACUCCAAAAAUGAACUCCAGCUUGUUCGAUCCAGUGCUGAGACCCACACUGCCCUGUAGUUCUGAGUCAGCUCUCUGUAGACUGAAAAACCAAGAGCCAGAGGUUCCCCACCAAAAGGAUCCUGCCAAGUUCUUUGCUCCUUGAGGCUUAGCCAAAUCCUCAGCUCUCUGUUGUUGACUCAGUUGGGAACUAAUGGUUUCCCCUUCCUGUUCUACUAUUGGCUUAAGCUGUUUUCCUUCUGGUCUGCAAGGAACAAAAACAAGUACUUUUCUCAUAAAAAUAACAAUUAGCCGAAUCCUGGAUUCCAGAGAGCCUUCAGCCUGAGCUCCCUGGUGUGAGCAAGCAAGCUUCAGGUUUCUUGAGGACACAGGAUUCUGGUCCCCAUCUGAACUAUGAGAGCCAAGUGUUAGAGGCAGAAUGAUGGCAAUACAUAGACAUUACAGAAUUACCUGAGACAUGGGCCUUUUUGUUUUCAGCUUCAGCACAGAGGGGGACAGGAAAAGAAGAGCACCUGAGGAGGAAGUAACUAUGGAACAGAUGUGGGUGGGACUUAGAAAGGAAGAAGAUGAUGGGGCCUUAGAAAGGACAUUGACUGCGAACUCAUGUGCUAAAUAUGAACAGACGUGUUCCCUACGUCAGAUCUAUGGGGUUUACAGUUAACGGUAUUUAUAUACUUUUCCCCUAUUUGGGAGCUUCUCCCUCUGCCCUGAUACAGCUUUCUAGUCCUAUUUUCAACUCUGACACCAUCUUCCCAGACAAUACUCUUAACCCACCUGCAUGUUAGCUGUCAGGCUCAGGCAAAAAUCAGGAAAGUCAAGGGCCACCUGAAAUAUGAUUAAAUUAGACUUCCCAGCUUUUUCCAGCAUUAAGACCCCGAAUCUCAUCUGCUAUACUCUUACCUUCCCAAUUAUUAAACAAUUUGUUCUGCUUUAUAUCUUGAUGUUUUUUCAGCCACCAAGUUGCAGAUGCCAUGACGCCAACCUGACUUCCCUAAACAGGCAACCUCAUCAAUGCCUCCUGGAAUCUCACUUUCUCUGGAGUUCUACCCCACUAGGGGAAGGUAGAAACACGCUGGGAGUAUGGAUCCACCUGUCAACACCCAUGUCCAGUGGAGAAGCAAUUACAGAAGCCAAACCUCCCACUUUCUGUACCCCAUAGUGAUCCUGGGUCCAUAUUCCCAGAGGGAUAAAGAAAAGGCUAACUUCCAGUGGAGGGGAGGGGAUAUGGAACUCUGGUGGUGGGAACUGAAUUUUAUUGAAUUGUACCCCCCUUAUCACACAAUCUUGUCAAUCACUGUUAAAUUUUUAACAAAGGAAGGAAGGAAUGAAGGA